AAUAGAUACCCUGGUAGUCCACGCUGUAAACGAUGAUUACUGGUUGUUAGCGAUAUAUAGCUAGUGACUGAGCGAAAGCAUUAAGUAAUCCACCUGGGGAGUACGUCGGCAACGAUGAAACUCAAAGGAAUUGACGGGGGCCCGCACAAGCGGAGGAACAUGUGGUUUAAUUCGAUGAUACGCGAGGAACCUUACCUGGGUUUAAAUGGGGAGUGACAGGUGUCGAAAGAUGCUUUUCCUUCGGGACACUCUUCAAGGUGCUGCAUGGUUGUCGUCAGCUCGUGCCGUGAGGUGUCGGGUUAAGUCCCAUAACGAGCGCAACCCUUGCCGAUAGUUGCCAUCACGUAAAGGUGGGCACUCUAUCGGGACUGCCGGUGUAAACCGUGAGGAAGGUGGGGAUGACGUCAAAUCAGCACGGCCCUUACAUCCAGGGCUACACACGUGUUACAAUGGCCAGUACAGAGGGCCGCUACCCCGCGAGGGGAUGCCAAUCUCGAAAGCUGGUCUCAGUUCGGAUUGAAGUCUGGAACCCGACUUC
RNAcentral lists this ribosomal RNA (538 nucleotides) under uncultured bacterium. RNAcentral describes it as "bacterial SSU rRNA". It matches the Rfam family "Bacterial small subunit ribosomal RNA", at positions 777 to 1319 of the family's 1533-position model. The record is from RNAcentral.